UGGGGAAUAUUGGACAAUGGGCGCAAGCCUGAUCCAGCCAUGCCGCGUGUGUGAAGAAGGCCUUUUGGUUGUAAAGCACUUUAAGCGAGGAGGAGGCUACUUGGAUUAAUACUCUAGGAUAGUGGACGUUACUCGCAGAAUAAGCACCGGCUAACUCUGUGCCAGCAGCCGCGGUAAU
This 178-nucleotide ribosomal RNA is filed under the name uncultured Acinetobacter sp. Its description in RNAcentral is "partial 16S ribosomal RNA". It matches the Rfam family "Bacterial small subunit ribosomal RNA", at positions 355 to 524 of the family's 1533-position model. The record is from RNAcentral. Lineage: Bacteria; Pseudomonadati; Pseudomonadota; Gammaproteobacteria; Moraxellales; Moraxellaceae.